UGCAAGUCGAGCGGACAGAUGGGAGCUUGCUCCCUGAUGUCAGCGGCGGACGGGUGAGUAACACGUGGGUAACCUGCCUGUAAGACUGGGAUAACUCCGGGAAACCGGGGCUAAUACCGGAUGCUUGAUUGAACCGCAUGGUUCAAUUAUAAAAGGUGGCUUUUAGCUACCACUUACAGAUGGACCCGCGGCGCAUUAGCUAGUUGGUGAGGUAACGGCUCACCAAGGCAACGAUGCGUAGCCGACCUGAGAGGGUGAUCGGCCACACUGGGACUGAGACACGGCCCAAACUCCUACGGGAGGCAGCAGUAGGGAAUCUUCCGCAAUGGACGAAAGUCUGACGGAGCAACGCCGCGUGAGUGAUGAAGGUUUUCGGAUCGUAAAACUCUGUUGUUAGGGAAGAACAAGUACCGUUCGAAUAGGGCGGUACCUUGACGGUACCUAACCAGAAAGCCACGGCUAACUACGUGCCAGCAGCCGCGGUAAUACGUAGGUGGCAAGCGUUGUCCGGAAUUAUUGGGCGUAAAGCGCGCGCAGGCGGUUUCUUAAGUCUGAUGUGAAAGCCCCCGGCUCAACCGGGGAGGGUCAUUGGAAACUGGGGAACUUGAGUGCAAAA
This 616-nucleotide ribosomal RNA is filed under the name Bacillus licheniformis. RNAcentral describes it as "bacterial SSU rRNA". It matches the Rfam family "Bacterial small subunit ribosomal RNA", at positions 56 to 653 of the family's 1533-position model. The record is from RNAcentral. Lineage: Bacteria; Bacillati; Bacillota; Bacilli; Caryophanales; Bacillaceae.